AAUGAACGCUGGCGGCGCGCCUAAUACAUGCAAGUCGAGCGAGAAGACGUAGCAAUACGUUUGUAAAGCGGCGAACGGGUGAGGAAUACAUGGGUAACCCUACCCUCGAGUGGGGAAUAACUAGCCGAAAGGUUAGCUAAUACCGCGUACGCUUCUUGGACUUCGGUUCAGGGAGGAAAGCGAUGCCGAGGGUAUCGCGCUCUUGGAUGGGCUCAU
This 216-nucleotide ribosomal RNA is filed under the name uncultured bacterium. RNAcentral's name for it is "partial 16S ribosomal RNA". It matches the Rfam family "Bacterial small subunit ribosomal RNA", at positions 29 to 234 of the family's 1533-position model. The record is from RNAcentral.